RNAcentral lists this ribosomal RNA (1487 nucleotides) under uncultured Staphylococcus sp. RNAcentral describes it as "bacterial SSU rRNA". It matches the Rfam family "Bacterial small subunit ribosomal RNA". The record is from RNAcentral. Lineage: Bacteria; Bacillati; Bacillota; Bacilli; Caryophanales; Staphylococcaceae.
GACGAACGUUGGCGGCGUGCCUAAUACAUGCAAGUUGAGCGCUGAAGGUUGGUACUUGUACCGACUGGAUGAGCAGCGAACGGGUGAGUAACGCGUGGGGAAUCUGCCUUUGAGCGGGGGACAACAUUUGGAAACGAAUGCUAAUACCGCAUAAAAACUUUAAACACAAGUUUUAAGUUUGAAAGAUGCAAUUGCAUCACUCAAAGAUGAUCCCGCGUUGUAUUAGCUAGUUGGUGAGGUAAAGGCUCACCAAGGCGAUGAUACAUAGCCGACCUGAGAGGGUGAUCGGCCACAUUGGGACUGAGACACGGCCCAAACUCCUACGGGAGGCAGCAGUAGGGAAUCUUCGGCAAUGGACGAAAGUCUGACCGAGCAACGCCGCGUGAGUGAAGAAGGUUUUCGGAUCGUAAAACUCUGUUGGUAGAGAAGAACGUUGGUGAGAGUGGAAAGCUCAUCAAGUGACGGUAACUACCCAGAAAGGGACGGCUAACUACGUGCCAGCAGCCGCGGUAAUACGUAGGUCCCGAGCGUUGUCCGGAUUUAUUGGGCGUAAAGCGAGCGCAGGUGGUUUAUUAAGUCUGGUGUAAAAGGCAGUGGCUCAACCAUUGUAUGCAUUGGAAACUGGUAGACUUGAGUGCAGGAGAGGAGAGUGGGAUUCCAUGUGUAGCGGUGAAAUGCGUAGAUAUAUGGAGGAACACCGGUGGCGAAAGCGGCUCUCUGGCCUGUAACUGACACUGAGGCUCGAAAGCGUGGGGAGCAAACAGGAUUAGAUACCCUGGUAGUCCACGCCGUAAACGAUGAGUGCUAGAUGUAGGGAGCUAUAAGUUCUCUGUAUCGCAGCUAACGCAAUAAGCACUCCGCCUGGGGAGUACGACCGCAAGGUUGAAACUCAAAGGAAUUGACGGGGGCCCGCACAAGCGGUGGAGCAUGGUGGUUUAAUUCGAAGCAACGCGAAGAACCUUACCAGGUCUUGACAUACUCGUGCUAUUCCUAGAGAUAGGAAGUUCCUUCGGGACACGGGAUACAGGUGGUGCAUGGUUGUCGUCAGCUCGUGUCGUGAGAUGUUGGGUUAAGUCCCGCAACGAGCGCAACCCCUAUUGUUAGUUGCCAUCAUUAAGUUGGGCACUCUAACGAGACUGCCGGUGAUAAACCGGAGGAAGGUGGGGGUGACGUCAAAUCAUCAUGCCCCUUAUGACCUGGGCUACACACGUGCUACAAUGGAUGGUACAACGAGUCGCGAGACAGUGAUGUUUAGCUAAUCUCUUAAAACCAUUCUCAGUUCGGAUUGUAGGCUGCAACUCGCCUACAUGAAGUCGGAAUCGCUAGUAAUCGCGGAUCAGCACGCCGCGGUGAAUACGUUCCCGGGCCUUGUACACACCGCCCGUCACACCACGGGAGUUGGGAGUACCCGAAGUAGGUUGCCUAACCGCAAGGAGGGCGCUUCCUAAGGUAAGACCGAUGACUGGGGUGAAGUCGUAACAAGGUAA